GACGAACGCUGGCGGCGUGCUUAACACAUGCAAGUCGAACGGAAAGGCCCUGCUUUUGUGGGGUGCUCGAGUGGCGAACGGGUGAGUAACACGUGAGUAAACUGUCCUUGACUUUGUGAUAAAUUCAGGAAACUGGGGCUAAUAUCGGAUAGGAGAUCCUGCUGCAUGGGGGGGGAUGGAGAGUUUCGGCGGUUGGGGCUGGACUCGCGGCUUCUCAGCUGGUUGGUGGGGUAGUGGCUUACACAGGUUUUGACGGGUAGCCGGCCUGGGAAGGUGGACGGGCCCAAUGGGCCUGCGGUACGCACCAGUAUCCUACCGGAGGCAACAGUGGGGAAUAUUGCACAAUGGGCGGAAGCCAGAUGCAGCAACGCCGCGUGCGGGAUGACGGCCUUCGGGUUGUAAACCGCUUUCGCCUGUGACGAAGCGUGAGUGACGGUAAUGGGUAAAGAAGCACCGGCUAACUACGUG
This 468-nucleotide ribosomal RNA is filed under the name uncultured bacterium. Its description in RNAcentral is "partial 16S ribosomal RNA". It matches the Rfam family "Bacterial small subunit ribosomal RNA", at positions 28 to 507 of the family's 1533-position model. The record is from RNAcentral.